Molecule: ribosomal RNA, 643 nt
Filed under: uncultured bacterium
Lineage: Bacteria
Description: bacterial SSU rRNA
Rfam family: Bacterial small subunit ribosomal RNA
Source: RNAcentral
CGCGGCCUAUCAGCUUGUUGGUGGGGUAAUGGCCUACCAAGGCUUCGACGGGUAGCCGGCCUGAGAGGGUGACCGGCCACACUGGGACUGAGACACGGCCCAGACUCCUACGGGAGGCAGCAGUGGGGAAUAUUGGACAAUGGGCGGAAGCCUGAUCCAGCAACGCCGCGUGAGGGAUGACGGCCUUCGGGUUGUAAACCUCUUUCACCGAUGACGAAGCGUGAGUGACGGUAGUCGGAGAAGAAGCACCGGCCAACUACGUGCCAGCAGCCGCGGUAAUACGUAGGGUGCGAGCGUUGUCCGGAAUUAUUGGGCGUAAAGGGCUCGUAGGCGGUUUGUCGCGUCGGGAGUGAAAACCCAGGGCUUAACCCUGGGCUGGCUUUCGAUACGGGCAGACUAGAGGUAUGCAGGGGAGAACGGAAUUCCUGGUGUAGCGGUGAAAUGCGCAGAUAUCAGGAGGAACACCGGUGGCGAAGGCGGUUCUCUGGGCAUUACCUGACGCUGAGGAGCGAAGGUGUGGGGAGCGAACAGGAUUAGAUACCCUGGUAGUCCACACCGUAAACGUUGGGCGCUAGGUGUGGGGUCCAUUCCACGGAUUCCGUGCCGCAGCUAACGCAUUAAGCGCCCCGCCUGGGGAGUACGG